AGUUACCCAGUUGCCCAUAGCAACCAAUCAGAUCGCUUCUUUCAUUUUGCAGAGGCCUUGUUAAAAAUGAAAGAAGCAAUCUGAUUGGUUGCUAUGGGCAACUAGGCAACUUUUCUUUUGGACAGGUUUUGAUAAAUCUCCCCCAAUGUUUUUGUACCCAGGAGCCCGCGGAGUGCUAUAUGGCCUAAUUAAUUCUCCGUUACACCAGAAGUGGUGUCCUCUCCCUGAGGAAAGUACUGAGCCCACUUAAUGUUUUCUUUAGGAGAAUCCUUGAGGACAUCCAAGCUUUAAAAAGUCGGUAAAAAAGAAGGGAUUGGAAAAGGAGAAUUGUUGUUGCAGCAAGAAGCAAAAUGGAUUAUCCGUACAAGAGCAGAAGGGAACUUAGGUUUCAAUAACAGGAUUUUUCGACCAACUUUGGCUGCUGCAAACAGGCAGAUGCUGGCUUGGAAGCCUAGGAACUAACGAGUUUAAGAGAGUGCUCCUAAUCUCAACUUGUUACCUGUAUAAAAGGAACUUGAGAACCAGAAAUCUUGCUGAUUGAUAUGGGUUCAAAUACUUAUUUCUGAGUAAAAUGCAAACCAUUCAAUUUGAAAUGUGUUUUUCUGGAUUUUUUUGUUGUUAUCCUGUUUCUCAGUGUUCAA
Long non-coding RNA from Hyla sarda, 641 nucleotides. RefSeq lists it as uncharacterized. Lineage: Eukaryota; Metazoa; Chordata; Amphibia; Anura; Hylidae. The record is from RefSeq and is a predicted model, not a curated record. The transcript has 3 exons.